This 488-nucleotide ribosomal RNA is filed under the name uncultured bacterium. RNAcentral describes it as "partial 16S ribosomal RNA". It matches the Rfam family "Bacterial small subunit ribosomal RNA", at positions 28 to 507 of the family's 1533-position model. The record is from RNAcentral.
GACGAACGCUGGCGGCGUGCUUAACACAUGCAAGUCGAACGGAAAGGCCCUGCUUUUGUGGGGUGCUCGAGUGGCGAACGGGUGAGUAACACGUGAGUAACCUGCCCUUGACUUUGGGAUAACUUCAGGAAAAUGGGGCUAAUACCCGAUAGGAGCUCCUGCUGCAUGGUGGGGGUUGGAAAAUGUCGGCCGUUGGGGAUGGACUCGCGGCGUAUGCGCUUGUUGGUAGGGUAGUGGCUUACCAGGGCUAUGACGGAUAGCCUGCCUGAGAGGGUGACCGGCCACACGGGAGCGGGGAAACGGGCCAUAGUACUACGGGAGGGCGCAGGAGGGAAUCUUCCGCAAGGGGCGAAGGCCUGACGGAGCGCCGCCGCGUGAGUGAUGAAGGUCUUCGGAGCGGAAAACUCUGUUAUUAGGGAAGAACAUAUGUGUACGUAACUGUGCACAUCAUGACGGUACCUAAUCAGAAAGCCACGGCUAACUACGGG